This 962-nucleotide long non-coding RNA is filed under the name Fukomys damarensis (Damara mole-rat). Its description in RNAcentral is "lncRNA (ENSFDAG00000030988.1)". The record is from RNAcentral. Lineage: Eukaryota; Metazoa; Chordata; Mammalia; Rodentia; Bathyergidae.
AGAGAUUCUUGCAGAGGUUAAAUGGCUCAAGUCCUAGGGAGGGGACGCUGUUGCUCAGAAAGAAAUACAAAGACUAGAUUCAUCUUGUUCAAGAAUUAUAAAUAGAACAGUCAGAUUAGAUUCAGCAGAGGAAUGGGGGCACCGCAAAGGAGCCAAGUUCUCUCCGAAUAAAGAGGCAAGGCUCCAAAGACUCCUAAAGCCCAGAAACAAACACAGCAGACUUUCAAAGAGGAAAAAGCAAAGACAGGAAUGAAGAAAAGCUUCAAGAAGUGUGCUUUUUCUCUUAACCCACAAGACCUUCCAGGUUUCCAUCAGAUGCAGUCUGCAAACUGGUGCAAGCCAGGAGGCUGCUGGAAGAGGGGCCCUGAUUUAACUGCAACCGGCUCUGCCUAAACCAGAACACUGCGUGGUAAGAACAAAGCAGUGGCACAGAGACUAAACUGGAGACUGUGCUGGGAGCCUCUGGAAAGCCCACUGGCUCCUGACUCAGAAGAACUGCUUCCCAGGUCUGCUUUCAGCAUUUACUGCCAUAUGGUCUCAGACAAGUCACUCCACCUCUCUGCACUACAGAUUCCCCAUCUGUUCUCAGUGAGUUUGGCUUCCAAUUACACCUUAAAAUUGUUUUAAGAGAGUAAUAUAAAAUACAAAAUCUAUAUAAAUGCCAUUGGUAGUCUAGGCAAAAAUGCCUUUCAAGGGGCCACUAAGUUUUCUACAAAGCCAGAGAUGAUAAGCUCUUCCAGUCUUCCCUCUUCUAAAGGAAGUCUGCAAAGGCAGUGAAGCAUGGAUAAUAAUAGCACAGGUUCUGUUAUAACAGGCUAAGAUUUGGAUCUCAGCUCUCUCAUUCACUAGGGUAUAACAUUGGAAUUUUUUUUUCCUUAAACUAUUUGUACCUCAAGAUUCUUCACUGUAGAAUAGAAAUAUUUCUGGCUUCACGGGUUUGCUGUGAAAAUUAAUAGGAAUGG